UUAAGGCUAAACCAAAUUUUUCACUUACAUUGUGCAUUAAAAAGAGCGUGUAACGACUGUUUCAAAUGGAUUUUAAGUAUUUUUUUAUCAACGUGGAUUAUGUUGCAGUUCAAUAGAUAACUGAAGUAAACACCUGACUACCAAACCGUGCAGGUAUUUUUUGGCAGUGGGCAUCCAAAUGCUUUGCUAAAUUCAGGAAAGUUGGACAAUGGAACUUGUACUCUGA
Non-coding RNA from Paramuricea clavata, 226 nucleotides. Lineage: Eukaryota; Metazoa; Cnidaria; Anthozoa; Malacalcyonacea; Plexauridae. The record is from the annotation of a GenBank genome assembly.